GAUGAACGCUGGCGGCGUGCCUAAUACAUGCAAGUCGAACGCAUUGUGGUUGAAAUGAUAUGAAGAACUUGUUCAGAUUUGAUUUUCAACAUUGCAAUGAGUGGCGAACGGGUGAGUAACACGUGGGAAACCUACCUCUUAGCAGGGGAUAACAUUUGGAAACAAAUGCUAAUACCGUAUAAUAAUUAAAACCGCAUGGUUUUAGUUUAAAAGAUGGUCUUGCUAUCACUAAGAGAUGGUCCCGCGGUGUAUUAGUUAGUUGGUGAGGUAAUGGCUCACCAAGACAAUGAUACAUAGCCGAGUUGAGAGACUGACCGGCCACAAUGGGACUGAGACACGGCCCAUACUCCUACGGGAGGCAGCAGUAGGAAGUCUUCCACCAAUGGACGAAAGUCUGAUGGAGCAACGCCGCGUGUGUGAUGAAGGUUUCGGCUCGUAAAACACUGUUGUAAGAGAGAAUGACAUUGAGAGUAACUGUUC
RNAcentral lists this ribosomal RNA (480 nucleotides) under uncultured bacterium. Its description in RNAcentral is "bacterial SSU rRNA". It matches the Rfam family "Bacterial small subunit ribosomal RNA", at positions 28 to 469 of the family's 1533-position model. The record is from RNAcentral.